GAAACCUUUUCUACGAUAGAACACUCCUGGACAAAUGAUACCGUCUUAUUUUGAAGUACAUCUACCCAGCCAACCAAACAUCAACCAAAGCAGUCACUUACUGCAACAGAGCAGCACAAAGGUCAUUUCACCCUAUCAGCAUCCUCCAUCUCCACCUGGGGGUAUCCAGGUGGCUCUGGGAGAUGAAACCCCUCCUGGGCUGACUCGGUCAGUCGUGCCUGGAACACAGAACCACCUCCACCGACGCCUCUCAGUGUGAUGGAGCAGCGGCUCGAUCCUCCCAAAUUGCUGAGCUCUUGAGUCUAUCACACUGAGCGAGACCAGCCGCCCUGUGGAGUAACCUCACCUCUGCUGCUUGUUUCUGCCAUCUCAUUUGUUCAUGAAUACCCAACGCCUGUGUUGUUAGAUUAGAGUUGGAACUGAGAUCGGAUUGGUAAAUUGAAAACGUUCCGUGUGGGCUCAUCAGCUGCAAAGCAAAGGGAUAUCUACACUUCUCAAACCAAGUGAAUCUACACUGGACACAAAUUUUAGUCUUUUUUUGUAGUUUCUUUUUUGUUUUGGGGGGGCUGCUCACCACUCACUCAUAAUGAGCUUAUCACAUGGGACAGGACCCAAAUUCUAGAAAGAAUCAUUUGGAAACAACAUACCUGAGCCAUUAGCUUAUGUACUGUAGCUGAGAUGGUCAUAAGAAGCCAUAUUGGUCAUUCUCCCCCUAUUCCCUGAAAUGUGCAACUCUUACUUUUCCAGUUUUUUAUUAAAACGGGUUAUCAGAAACUCUCCAUCAUGAUGCACCCAUAGAGCAUUCUACACGAAUCUACAGUACAUUACAGCUCUGAAGACCUUGUUUGUAAUCUGAGCUAUUAAUGACUGUUUUAGUGAUGAGUCUUGACAUUUCUAUUGAAGGGUGCUGUGAUCACCCCAGGAGGAGAGGAAAGACACCCGGGAUAGGUGCCAUGCUGGCCCAGCUUGGAUUUAAGACACUUCCUGGGUAAUGUCUGGUCUGGACGAAAUGGGACUCAGUCUGGGUAAGCAAUGGGAAUCAGAGACUGUUGUGCCCACAUCUUUACAGAGACCUGCUCCAUCAACAUCCCAGAUCAAGCACUCGACAGGCUGAAGACUCCGGCAAGAUGAAAGGAGGAGGACUCUGCGUUUGGUGCUCAUUUGGUUUCCCAAAUGUCAAGCUUUUAAUGUGGGUCAAUGGACACCCACACAGCCCUAGAGCCCAAUAUACAACACAAGCCCUUCAUCUUUAACAGCAGCAUGGGCCUUUUCUGCUGUCUCAUAGAUAAAGUUGUGUAUCUCUUUGUGGUACCUUAUGAGCAAGAAAGCUCUGCGACAACAGGAACUUUCUUAAAAAUCUUAUUUUAAAUAUAGUCAGCUGCUGCUAUUGCUGUGAUAAAGCUGAAAUGGACACCACAGGCCGGUCUGCUUGACCAAACGCAGUUUUUCUAAAGAGUAUAAACCUGUUCCAGUCUUGACAUUUCUAUUGAACCUGGUCCGGUUUAUCAGCAUUUUUGCUAUUCCAACAAUGCGAACAUUUGGCUCUCUAGCCCUUCUUUACAGUUUGAUUUGAAGCCAUUAUUUUUUAAAUCAGGUAUCAGUUUUUCUUUUUAAUUCUUUGGCAAUUUGGUC
Siniperca chuatsi (mandarin fish) is the source of this 1632-nucleotide long non-coding RNA. RefSeq lists it as uncharacterized. NCBI's taxonomy places the organism in Eukaryota, Metazoa, Chordata, Actinopteri, Centrarchiformes, Sinipercidae. The transcript has 3 exons. The record is from RefSeq and is a predicted model, not a curated record.